This 253-nucleotide ribosomal RNA is filed under the name uncultured Nocardioidaceae bacterium. RNAcentral describes it as "partial 16S ribosomal RNA". It matches the Rfam family "Bacterial small subunit ribosomal RNA", at positions 524 to 776 of the family's 1533-position model. The record is from RNAcentral. Lineage: Bacteria; Bacillati; Actinomycetota; Actinomycetes; Propionibacteriales; Nocardioidaceae.
UACGUAGGGUGCAAGCGUUGUCCGGAAUUAUUGGGCGUAAAGGGCUCGUAGGCGGUUUGUCGCGUCGGGAGUGAAAACUCAGGGCUUAACCCUGAGCCGGCUUCCGAUACGGGCAGACUAGAGGUAUGCAGGGGAGAACGGAAUUCCUGGUGUAGCGGUGAAAUGCGCAGAUAUCAGGAGGAACACCGGUGGCGAAGGCGGUUCUCUGGGCAUUACCUGACGCUGAGGAGCGAAAGUGUGGGGAGCGAACAGG